Molecule: long non-coding RNA, 5245 nt
Filed under: Homo sapiens (human)
Lineage: Eukaryota; Metazoa; Chordata; Mammalia; Primates; Hominidae
Description: HSALNT0224947
Source: RNAcentral
UUGAGUCAUGGGGGCUCUUUCUGCAUGCUGUUCUCAUGAUAGUGAGUGAGUUCUCCCAACAUCUAAUGGUUUUAUAAGUGUUUGGUAGUUCCUCUUGCAUUCAUUCUCUUUCUUGCCGCCUUGUGAAGAAGGUGACUUGCUUCCCUUUUGCCUUCUACCAUGACUGAGGCCUUCCCAGCAUACUGAACUUCCCCAGAUAGCAGAUGACUGGUAGGAAGAUGAGGCAAGUUUGCGGUCCAUUGUCAUGGAUAGUGGAGACAACACUGGGCCAGAAGUGGUAAGACCUGAAUCCAAGACUCAGCUCUGCCACUUGCUAAAUGGGACUUUGAAUAAACCAUUUCUCUGCACUUAAGUUCCUUACCAACAAAACGAGGGAAGUGGCCUACAUGCCUAGAUAUCAACAUUUCAUGUCACGUAGAGAUCUAGCAUCACAAGAAUCCAAGUCAUCCUCUGUUGCCUUUAAGGAACUGGACCAAGGGAAGAGGACACAGAAGGUAAAAGGAAGCCAGACCAGCAUGUUCUCCCACUCUAGUGCUCCUACCAAGAGGCUUUGAUAAGCAAUCACAAUUGUCCCCAGUGACAUGAAAGAAAAAGUGAAGCACCCUGUAGGGAUGCAUAGCAUGACAUCUACGUAGACUUGGGUCAUGGAAGGAAACUGUCACCACAUACAAGUUCAAGGGAAAUGUUCAGCCUCCAGGUGUGGAGCGUGUACAGGAAUGAAGCUGCUCACCCAGGACUUAUGCUUUGCACCUUUGUGCUCCUCACAUAUGGCCAUGUGCCCGUCCCCCCGUCCCCCACCCCACCAAUGGCAUCUGUGCAGAGUGAUAUGCGCCACUUCCAGGCUGGAUAUUUACACUGUGGUUACCUUCUGUCCCUUUUCUCUGCAUCAGCCGCUGAAUGAAGCUCUGCCCAGGCCUUAGGAAAAGGUGAAACCCCAACUAGCAGGGGCCCCAGUUCACCAUAUCCAGGAAGGUGUCCUUGAACCAGAAAUACCCACGUUGUACUCCGACAUGAACAAGAAAUAGAUUUCUAUUAUAUUAAGCAACAGAAAUUUUCAGAUAUAUCAGUUCUCGCAGCAGGAAGGAUGUAUUGAUAAUGGCAACAUGGAUGGAGCUCAAAACAUCACAUUUAAUGAAAAAAGAGACUUACAUAAAAAAAUUAUAGACUAUAUUAUUACAUUCAAAUGAAGUUCAAGAACAAGCAAAAGUUGUGGAAAAAUAUCAGAAAACUUGCUUCUGCUGGAGGGGUAGGAUGGGAUUUGACUGGGAAGAGGCCUAGGGGAACAUGCUGGAAUGAUAUUAAUGUUCUAUUUCUUGAUGGAGGUUUGGGUUCCACAGGUGUAUGUAUUUGCUAAAAGUUAGCAAAUGUAGAGUUAAGGUUUGUGUUCUUCCUUGUGCAAUACAUUUUACACCAAAGGAAAGGCUGUAAACAAAUAUUGAACUGUAGUUAAUCAUAUGUAUGGAGAAAAACUUAAGGAAAAGACUUAUGAAUGCCUCAAGUUUAUUUAAAAAAGCAUUAAAAAUAAGAUUAAACAGGUAUUUAUGGAUAAACUACUGAAACUGAGAGAUAUUAACAGUAAAUAGUCAAAAUGUUCACUGUAAGAAUGAAAUUGAAAGGGAUUUGAACCCAGGUCUGUUUCACUGUAAAUCCUUGCUCCUGUGCUCUCUCAUGUUUAUUGGAAUUCAUGGGUAGAAAAUUUAAAUGCUCUGAAUCACUAUGAGAAGAAAGAUUCAGGAAAAAAAAAUGAAAGGCUAGAUUUCCAAAGAUAAGCCAGGUAAAUAUCAUGGAGAGUUGCAACAAUGUACUGCUAAUUAACUCUAAUACUUAGAGCUAAUGUCGAGUUUUCUGAGGGUUGUGACAUUCAUACAUGACUAAUUAACCUACACAGCAAAUCCAUUUCACUAGCUGCCAUGACACAGCCAAUCAAGACUAGCUCACUGUUUGCUCAUUUGGAAAAUGAUGAGGAUUCCCAUUUAGACUUAAUUACACUACAAAGAUUGACAAUUAUCUUCUCUAUAGAAGCAUCAGAUGUUUCGAUAUUAUACUGAACAUGUGCCUAUAAUUAUGUCCAUAAUUUGUCUAGCAGAAAAUGUAACCCAGUCAUUACUGAGAUCUUAUGCCUGUAAUUAGAUAUCAAAAAAAAAAUACCAAAUGGGAAAAGUGGGUUGUUGGGAUGUUAGGACCAUUACAAUGUGAGAAUCUGUAUGAAGCUAUUAGUGGGAACUCAGUAGCAACCAACAUCUCUUGGAUUGCUGCCCUCUAUUAAAAAUAAUCAGGAAGUGUGAGAGAGGGGAAAAUGAUGGCAGAGUAAAACCAUAGUACAAUCGCUUUUCCAAUACUUGACUGCAGUCAUUAAAAAUCCCAUAGGCACCUCAAAUUCAACACAUUUGAAACCGACUCAUUAGCCACCUUUGCCCCACUAUAGCUACUCCUUUUCCUGUGUUUGCUUUCUUAGACGAUUGCAAAGCAUUGUAGAGUCAUCUGCAACAAUUGUUCUCUCACUCCUUUCUCCUAAUCAAACCUCCGUGAUUCUGAUUACUAAUUUUUUCUAAGUGUGUUGCUCCUCUCUAUGCUGUGACUCUUCCAUUGUCUGCCUUCAUCAUCCUUGUAUGGUCAAUUUCAAGAGCACGUAUAAGAACGGUGCUGCAUCUGAAUGUUCACUCAUAAGUGGGAGUUGAACAAUGAGAACACAUGGACACAGGGAGGGGAACAUCACACGCUGGGGCCAAGCGGAGGGAGAGCAUUAGGACAAAUACCUAAUGCAUGUGGGGCUUAAAACCUAGAUGAUGGGUUGAUGGGUACAGCAAACCACUAUGGCACAUGUAUACCUAUCUAACAAGCCUGCAUGUUCUGCACGUGUAUUCCAGAACUUAAAGUAUAAUAAUAAUAAAAGAAGAAUGGUGCCGCUUUCCUCAAAUGUCUCCACCGUGUCACUUAUCUUCUGAAUUUCUCCCAGUAUGAUCAUCUCUAAUCACGAAUCUCAUUAUGCCACUCUGCCAUUCAGAAGAGUUGAGUGUGUCCACCUCUUUCCUAACAGCAUUUGGCAGAACACAGAAAGUAUGUUUUGUUUUUCAUUGAAUUUUGUGCCAGCUUCACGCUGGCCUGCCCCAGUCUGUAAUUUAGGCUAGCUCCAUUAUAUGGUUUACUAAUUAUGUAAUGUGACAUGCUCAUUAUUUCAGUUAUCUCUUGCAGGACAACUGGCUACCCCAAAAUUUAAUAGCUAAAAGCAAUCAUUUUUAUUUUGCUAAUGAUUUUUUGGGGUAAGGAAUGUAGAAACGGCUCCAAAGGGUGGUCGUUUCUGAUCAAUAUUGCAUCAGCUGGGGUGGAAGAAUCUUCUUCAAAAUAGCUUCUUUACUCACAUCUGGUGCCUUAGGGCUUCUUGACCUCUCUCUCUCUUCAUGUGGCUUCUCAUCCUCCAGGCUUUCUUCACUUGGCUUACCUUCUUGCAGCAAGGGUAUCUAAAAGAAGUCUCACUUUUUACACGGAAGCUAGAUUCCAAGAGGCAGGCAGUAGAAACUGCGCAGCUAGCUAAAGGCUAUAACAGAAAAAGGCAUGGCAACACUUCUACCAUAGUCUAUUAGUGAAGGCAGUUCCCAAGACCCUCAGAUUUAAGAGCACAGAGAAAUAGAUCCCAAUUCUAGAUGGGAAAAUGUCCAGGUCACGUUGAAGAAGAGCACAUAGGGCAAGAGACACUGUUGCACCUGUAUUUGCAAAAGUAAAUCUAUAUGCAUGCUAUUUCAUUCUUCUAAAAUACUGAGUGGCUGUAGCUCUCAACGCUAAUCGCUCUGUCUAUCCUACUCAAAUGCACUUCGGAGCAAUUGCUCAACUUUGCACAUUCUCUACGCAACCUCUCUCCAAAAUGCCCCUACAAUACUUAGUGUAAUCUCUUUUAUGUUAGAGUGGAACACCAUUGUCUAUUUACUGACAUAUUUAUCUCUCCCGCCAGAAUAUAAGGAUAAGCUCAUGUCUUAUUUACUUUAGAAUACCUUUUGUGUAACACAGAUGCUGGCAUAUAGUAGAUAUUAAAUACAUGUUCUAUUGAUCACAAGACUAAUAAAAGGAAUAAAUAAAUUGUCCUAUUCAUACAUGUAUUAUCUAUGCCUGGGGUACUUCCUGGAACAAGUUUAGUACCUGGUGAUUAUCAGCUUCCAAGAUGGCCCCCAAUAGUCUCCACCUCCUGAAUUCACACUCUUUGUAGUUCCUUCCUGCAUUGUGCCAGAGUUGGUCAAUGUGACCAACAGGAUAUAGUAGAAGGGAUGGUAUUAUGCUAUAAAAGACGUUCAAUUUUUAUCUCUUUCUCUCUCAUAAUUCACCCUGAGAGAAACCAGCUGCCUUGUUGCAAGCAGUCCUACGGAGAGGCCCACAUAGUGAGAAACUGAGGCCUUCUGCCAACAGCCAGAGGAGGGAGCUUGCAAGCAGACCCUCCAGCCCCAGCUAAGCUUCAGGUGACUGUCCAGGCAACGGCUGGAGUAAAACCUCACAAGACGUCCAGAGCUAGAGCCACCCAGCUCAGCUGCUCCCAGAUUUCUGACUCUCAGAAACCAUGUGAGAUAAUAAAUGCUUGCUGUUUUAAGCUGCUAAAUUUUGAAGUAGUUUUUUACACAGCAAGAGAUAAUUAUUUUAUUUACUAAUACAUAUUCGUGAAUGCCAUCCAACAUAGAAAGAAUGAAGCAGUUCCAUUCUUCUUCUUGGAUUUUUAGCUAAAGUAUUUUGUUGUUACUACGACAGACACCUGGGUGGUAAUUGCUAUUUCAAGCUGGACACCUGGGCUUUUUCUCCACUACAAAGAACCUCUCAGUUACUCCCAGAGAAAGUAAUGAUUUCACUUCUUGGAGUAAGUGUUUGUGCUAAUUAGCAGCAUGACGAAAUACAGCAUGUCAAGCAAAAAACUAUUUGUGCUUACCUUCCAACACAUUCUCUUACAGAGAGGACAUGAUGCCAGAGAAAUAAACAUUAAACUACUGUACACUAUCAGACUUUGCAAUGUAGCCUUACUUCACUAGCUUUGUAUUUCAAUCCCUAAUUACUAAACUGAUAAGAUUUCUGAUUAUUUUGGUUGAAAGAAAAAGCCCUCCUUUUGUCUCAACAAAAUUAGAACAUGAAAGAAAAAAAUAAAUACAUGAAAUUACCUAGAGAAUAUAUUAUUUAUAUCUGCUUCUAAGAAAUUCAGCAGGGGAUUUUUAAAAUGCUGGAUUAGUAAUUUUAUAAUCUUUUAUAUUCAAAUAUACUUCCAUGAAAUGUUAGC